UAGGGAAUCUUCGGCAAUGGACGGAAGUCUGACCGAGCAACGCCGCGUGAGUGAAGAAGGUUUUCGGAUCGUAAAACUCUGUUGCCAGGGAAGAAAGGCCAGGAGAGUAACUGAUCCUGGAUUGACGGUACCUGAGAAGAAAGCCCCGGCUAACUACGUGCCAGCAGCCGCGGUAAUACGUAGGGGGCAAGCGUUGUCCGGAAUUAUUGGGCGUAAAGCGCGCGCAGGCGGUUAGGUAAGUCUGGUGUAUAAACCCAAGGCCCAACCUUGGGACGCAUUGGAAACUGGCUGACUGGAGUGUAGGAGAGGAAAGUGGAAUUCCACGUGUAGCGGUGAAAUGCGUAGAUAUGUGGAGGAACACCAGUGGCGAAGGCGACUUUCUGGCCUAUAACUGACGCUGAGGCGCGAAAGCGUGGGGAGCAAACA
This 426-nucleotide ribosomal RNA is filed under the name uncultured Paenibacillus sp. RNAcentral's name for it is "bacterial SSU rRNA". It matches the Rfam family "Bacterial small subunit ribosomal RNA", at positions 355 to 774 of the family's 1533-position model. Lineage: Bacteria; Bacillati; Bacillota; Bacilli; Caryophanales; Paenibacillaceae. The record is from RNAcentral.